AAUAAUAUGAACUACUUAUGAUUUGAUUUAUGGUAAAAAGAGUAGUGAAGUAACUUCGAUCGUAGUAGUGGGCAUAUUAAACAAUUU
This 87-nucleotide small RNA is filed under the name Arabidopsis thaliana (thale cress). RNAcentral's name for it is "ATSL261830". The record is from RNAcentral. Lineage: Eukaryota; Viridiplantae; Streptophyta; Magnoliopsida; Brassicales; Brassicaceae.